CCUACGGGAGGCAGCAGUGAGGAAUAUUGGUCAAUGGGCGGGAGCCUGAACCAGCCAAGCAGCGUGAAGGAAGAAGGUACAGCGUAUCGUAAACCUCUUUUGUCAGGGAACAAAGUCGGGGACUAGUCCCCGGAUGAGUGUACCUGAUGAAUAAGGAUCGGCUAACUCCGUGCCAGCAGCCGCGGUAAUACGGAGGAUGCGAGCGUUAUCCGGAUUUAUUGGGUUUAAAGGGUGCGUAGGCGGGCUGUUAAGUCAGCGGUAAAAGCCUGGGGCUCAACCGCGGGAGGGCGUUUGAAACUGGCGGGCUUGAGUUGGAGAGAGGUACGCGGAAUGCGCGGUGUAGCGGUGAAAUGCUUAGAUAUCGCGCAGAACCCCGAUUGCGAAGGCAGCGUACCAGCUCCACACUGACGCUGAGGCACGAAAGCGUGGGUAUCGAACAGGAUUAGAUACCCGAGUAGUC
Molecule: ribosomal RNA, 460 nt
Filed under: uncultured bacterium
Lineage: Bacteria
Description: partial 16S ribosomal RNA
Rfam family: Bacterial small subunit ribosomal RNA
Source: RNAcentral